GGUUUGGAUCCUAGAAGCUCCUGAGUAAGUGAGGAAAUAAAGGACCUCAGGUGUGAGCUCUAUGAACAUCAGAACUGGAAAUCCAGGGAGAGCAUGGCACUGAGCAAUCUGAUCUUUCAAAUGCUGUAACAGGUUUUGAAACUUAUUAUCUUUGUAGGUAAGCACUGGGUAAGUGCAUUUUAUCACAGUCUGUACAGGUGACAUUUGAUGGAGCAUAACCUAGCUCCCUGCAUCCAUGGUACAAGUGAAAUUCAGCCAUAAAAUAAUUCCCUGACUCAUCUUUAAUUAAGUGUACAAUGCAGGAAAGGAAUUAGUGUCUUCCAGUAUAUGGGAGGUAUAGAGAAAUAGCCCUACAUUUUCAAAAUAGCCCAUUAUUAACAAUCUGUACCAAAUCGAUUGGUACCCACAACUCAGUCCUUAAAUAAGCCAGACAAAAGCUGAAGUAAUUAUUUGGGGGUAAAUUAUUGCCAUUUGGGAAAUGUAAUCAAUGUUUUAUUACAGAAAAAAAGGAGAAUUUUUUUCUUAAUUUCUCUCUUCACUCUACCUCUCCUCAGACCAAUCUCCCUGCCAGAGGUCUAGAAGAAUAAUUUUUGUUUUUUGUUUUGUUUCCUCCCCUACCUUGGCCAGAGAGUUUCAGUCAUCUGAAUGCAGAAAGACAGGACACAUCUUGUAAAGGUUUUACAUUUUAAUAUCCUUUAAUGACCAAUAAUGAAUUCUUUAUAGUUAAUCUGCUGUUCUCGUGAAAACAAUCUAGAUGGUUAAAAAAAUCAAUCAUUAAUGAGCAGUAAAUGACAGCUCCCCAACAACACAGCUGUAUUUUUGUAAAAGUGAUUAAACAUUGUCUGCAUUCAUAAUUGCAUGGUUAAUAAGAAUGUUGAGCACCAAGUCAAGCAUUGUUGCUAAUGAUGACAGAUUAUGAUGCUACAAAUGCUUUGGAGUUAUGGGGCUAAAUUUUCAAAGGCAGUCCUUGGAACAGAAUGCACGCAGACCCACUAAGUAUUCAAUUUGCAUGGACCAUUACCAGGUUUGUGCAUGGCAUUUGGGAGCUUUGCAGUUGAGACUCUUUUGAAAUUCUCGCCCAUUAUGACAGAAAGCAUCUGUAAUUAACAGUAACUGAUCUCCCUCUGCCCAGCUUUGGUGAAAGGUGUAAAAUGCUCUGUGUGCAGCCUGAUGGAGCCCAAAGUCCCUUUGAUGAAGAGGUCUGAAACCUGAAAGGAAGGUAAAAACAGCCCCUUGCGAUGUAAUACAGCCUUGAAGAUAGGUGUAAAUAUCAGAGGCUUGCAAAUGGGUGGGAGAGAGGACAAGUCAUUCAGAAGGAGACUUGGUAAAGUCUCAUCUCUGAGUUCCUAUUGUAGAUAUUUGCUUUUCUCAUUUGGGUCAUAUAAUUAAAUCACUAAAUCUCAGGAAUGCAUUUACAGAUCUAUCUAUUUGAGAUUUUACAUUGUCCUGUGGUUCACUGGGGAUUGGUAACUGUGCUGAGGUGUGAGUUUUUGUUUUUAGUAACUAUGGGCAGAGUGAGUCACUUGAGGAUUGAGCAAGCCCUGCUUGUCUGUUCCUCAGUCUGUCUGUACUCUGAUCAGAUAUGAAGCAAUACUAUUUAUGAGGCUAUACAGAGUCACAAUUUAUAAGGAAAACUAUAUUCUAAAAAGAAAUUUAUGAAUUUUGUAUUCUUGGAAAUCUAUCUCUCUAGAAUGUUGAGGGUCUGUGGAAUACGUGGAGAUAUUAUAUCUUGUGUUAUUAUUUGCUUAUUCUACUCUUUAUGGAUAUCAUAUUGAAUUAGAAUUCUCUAGAAAAACAGAACCAACAGGAUAUCUAUGUAGGUAUGAUUAUAAAAGGGGGAUUUAUUAGAUCCAUUUAUACUACCAGAAAGUGGAAAGUCCUUUAAUGACUGUCUGCAGGGUGGAAAGCUGGAGGAACCAGUAGCUGCUCAGUCCAAGAAGCUGGAGCCUCAGAACAAGAAGGAUCAAUGAUGAAGCCCCAGUCUGGGACCAAACACCUGGAAACCUCCUGGAGAGUUGUUGGUGAGAGUCCUCAGUGGAAGAGUGAAGAAACUGGAGCCCCAUGCCCUCAGGUGAUCGCAGCAGCAAUUGAAGCACCCACUUAAGGAGAAUUGAGCUUGUGUCUGCUACUGAUUCCUUGUUCUUCUACCUUUUUGCUCCAUCCAGGCCCUCAACCUAUUGGAAAGUGCUGCCCACAUUUAGGUUGGGUAUCCACCCUCAGCUUGUUGGCCUACAUGCCAAUCAUUCCUAGAAACACCUCCUUGACACACCCACAAGCCUCUUAAUCUUAGGCAUCUCUUAAUGCAGUCAAGUUGACAAUUCAGAUUUGCCAUAACACUUAACCAUGACUUGGCCUAUAGAACAGAGAAAAAUGUAUAUUAUUUCUUUGAUGUCUUCACAACACCUCUCAGCGUUUUUUUUUUUUUUUUCUUUUUUCUUUUUUCUGCUUCAUUCAGCCUUUGUCUGAGCAAGGGGUUAUCGAUGCUCAUAUUCUGCAUAGAGUUAAACACAUGGUUAUAAGAUGCCUGGAUUUGAAAUGACACCCUAUCAUCCAUGGGUGACACUGUACAUCUCCUGGGGCCUUGCUUUCCCAUUUGCAAAACAGGAAUAAUAUUAGUAAGACUUUGUUAGGAUUACUGUGAGAAUUCAGUGACGUAUACAGAACUUCAUAUGUGCCAGAUAAAAGUUGAUUGUUCCUAUCUCUGUCACUGCUGAGGCCAUAGGUCUAGAGCUGGAGCACUUAAGUACUAUAGCUGGGAUCAGAAUCUCUUUUACUGGGCUGGGUCAUUUUGCAGAGAUCUAAGGCAACAGGCAUUGCCCUUAGUCCAUGUGUGAAGUGGCUGUAUCUGACAGUUACUUACAUAUUACAGGCUAAAAUGUAUUCCUCUUCCUACCCCUAGGAAGGCAUAGUGUAGUCCAGGGAAAGAGGAAACAUUCUGUCAGCAUGGCAGCUGUCUCAAUUAGAGGGUCUCAUAAGAAGUGAAGUAGAGAAACACCAUGCUGUAUGUUGCAUGCUGUGUGUUACUUGUGGAUAUUGCUGCACUGAACAAAACUUAGGAUUUGCUGCAGCCCUAUGGUAAGCUUCCUCUCUGGGUAGCCUCGGCAAUGCCCUUCUCUAACCACUGCUGCUGCCCCCCGUACUCUCCUGUUUCCUGCCACUUACUCUUGUUAAUAUUGACUCCCAAGCUAAGAACAGGCUCUUUGGUCUCAGUCAUGGCAAAUCUCUACACAGAGAAUCCACCUUCAAACCCAGUUCAAUUCAGCACUACUUCUUGUAGUGUCACAGCAAGAUUGAUAUGAAUAGAAUGGUACCAAGGGCUUAGUUUUAAUUUUUUUUUUUAACAACUUUGGUUCUGAGCUUCAUGAUCUACAAAAACAAGGAAUGUGAAAUUUACUGCUCAGGAUUGUUGCAAGAUUAAAUGAGAUAAUGUAAGCUGUGGGAAUUAGUAAAUUUAGUUCUACAAUAUGGUACUCUUUUUGCUCACAUGUUUUUGAAUUUCUACAUUUGCAAGACUUCAUUCUGUGACAUACCCACAGAUGCCUGAACAAGAAUGGUUUUGCAUUGUCUUCUUGUUAUGUUGCAUGUGUAAAAAACCCACAUCCCAUGUUUCUCAGGUUGCCUCCUGGAGGCCAAG
RNAcentral lists this long non-coding RNA (3634 nucleotides) under Marmota monax (woodchuck). Lineage: Eukaryota; Metazoa; Chordata; Mammalia; Rodentia; Sciuridae. The record is from RNAcentral.